RNA transcript from Perca fluviatilis (European perch), 7380 nucleotides. It is a transcript of the gene named HIVEP zinc finger 3a, with no coding region annotated. The record is from RefSeq and is a predicted model, not a curated record. Lineage: Eukaryota; Metazoa; Chordata; Actinopteri; Perciformes; Percidae. The transcript is spliced from 9 exons.
AUGGAGGCCUUGCAUAGUCGCCUGACGACUGGGGAGCAGUCCGGAGGUCAAGAACCUUGUCAACCAGAGUCUCCUCACCGAGGCCCGCAGCCCAAGUCUCCCUCUCAGCCCCGUCGGCAACAGCGAACUGGCUCCCCGAAGUCCCAUGGCACACUACAGCAACCCAGACAGUCCAGGAGACCGCAUCCUGAACGUAAACGUCUCCGGCACCAGCGGCAGAGCCUUGACUCAGAUGCAGCACUGGAACACAAACAUGAGGCAACAACAGCAACCGCAGUUUCUAGUUUGUCACCAGGAGUCCCAUGUUCCUCAGCGGGUGGACCCACCCAGUCUAAACCUGAAACCCAGGAGGGCACCCCAAAACAGAAACGCGAGCGUAAGCCUCAGAGACCAGGCAAAUACGUAUGCACUUACUGUGGCCGGGCAUGUGCAAAGCCUAGUGUCCUACAGAAACACAUUCGCUCCCACACAGGUGAGAGACCCUAUCCCUGUGCCCCGUGUGGCUUCUCUUUUAAGACCAAGAGUAACUUGUACAAACACCGCAAAUCACACACCCACAAGGUGAAGGCAGGGCUGACGCUUGGCGAGCCGAGAUCUUUAGAGGAGCAAGUCACUGAGUCAGAAGAUGAAACCAGACAGCUAUCAUCAGCAUCUUCCCUUACAGAAAGACGAGGCAGUGAAGCCUCGAUCAAGAGUCAUGAAACAGACAGGGCCAAAGAUUGCACUAAAGGAAACGAUGACUCCUACGCGGUGAAGAAGAGACUGGCCUUGCGUCUAAGUAGAGGAAAACGUGGCCCUCUAGACUCAUCUGACGAAAAGACCUCAUCUCUAAGUUUAGGGAGUAAAGGCAGUACAGAAUCAGGCUAUUUCUCUCGCUCUGAAAGCACUGAGCAGACACAGGACAGCCCCCCGAACACAAGUGCCAAAAGCUAUGCAGAAAUCAUCCUCGGCAAAUAUGGACGUCUUGGACACCUGCAGAGGAUGUCUCGGCACCAUAACCAGCUGCCCUCUGGUCAGGAGGACAAAAGCAUCCCAUUCACAGUCCCCAAGAAGCAGGUCAUUGACCAUAUCACCAAACUCAUCACUAUCAACGAGGCAGUGGUAGACACCAGUAAAAUUGACAGUGUAAAACCAAGGAGAUUCUCACUCUCCAGGAAGAAUAGUUCAGAUUCUCAGAAGAGUUCAUCUGUGAAAGAAACACUGAUUCACAGCCCUAAAGCUGGAGAUCUGGGCUAUAUUAACAGUGGCUCCAUCACCAUGGGAGUUCCAUGUGAAAAGUUUCAUCAUCCAUCCCUAAAUGUGGAGCAGCCAGCUGGCCAAACAUCCACCGCCCCAUUGGUGAGAAGUCACUCGAUGCCAUCUGCAGCUAGUUCAUUUGACGCCUCCAGCGGUGGCCUCAGUAAGUUCCGCUUAAGUCAGUCCUUUGAUGAACGACGACCUUCCGAAACGCAAGCAUCCCGUCGUUAUGGGAUGCUAAGACGGCAGCCAGCUAUUGAAAUCCCACUUGGUGCCGAAAUUACAAAAGAGGAACACGAGGGCUCUCAUUCACUUUACCCUGACACUGUGCCUGACCACACGCAAAGCCCACCGCAGCCAUACGAGUGUGAGGCCUGUGGCACUGGAUGCAACGAUUGGGAAGGUUAUAAGAAACACAAGCAAAGCCUGUGCUUAGCACAUCAUCCCAGAAAUGAGGUGGUAGUUAGUCAAACGGGGUGCUCGCAGCUAAUUAAUCAUGCAGUCAGAGCAGGAGCUUCAGCAAUGCGCAAGAGAAGGAAAGAAGAGAGUUUGGAAUUCGAUGAUCCCUCUUCGCCUUCAUUACCCUCCCCGGCCCUCUUAUCAGGACAGUGUAAAGAUGAAAGCAGUGUAGCUUACGAGGGCCCCAGAAGACUUGCGCUACAAACCUGUUCAGUAAUUCAACACACCAGUUCAUUUGAAAAACAAGAAUCUUUGUGCAAUGAGAAUCAAGGCACUGAGGCGACAAUAAACUCUCCACCUCAUGAAGACUAUCAACCGGUGCCUCAGAAACCAUCCCAACAGUCGAGAACACUGACAACUCGAAGUCUGGUCCGCCAACACAGUGUGCGGGUUCCAGAAAUACUGGUCACAGAGGAUUCCAACAUGAGCACAGCAACCUCAAAAAAGCCGACCACCACAGCAAAACAUUCAGAGAAACCUGAUGAAUUUCAGUGGCCGCAGAGAAGCCCCUCUCUGGCCCAGCUCCCCAUUGAAAAGCUUCCUCCAAAGAAGAAGCGCUUACGUUUAGCCGAGGCCGCACAGUCCUCCGGGGAAUCCAGUUUUGACUCUCUAUCCCUGCCCCACAGCCCUAGUCAGGACAGCAGUGCAUCCUAUGCAUCCAGCCGUUCCACGUCCUUUGAAGAGUCAAAUAGACCAGACAUGGAGAUGGCAGGAUCAACUCCGCUGAGGAGAUCAAGAGCUCCUCACAUGUUGACGGUGCCUGGGGUGCAUCAGCAUCGAGAGAUGAGGCGCUCUGCAUCUGAGCAGGCGCCCCAUGACCCACAGCCGAGCGUCCUAAUGGCUGAGAGCCGCAGUAAGUCUUUUGACUACAGUUGUCUGUCCCCUGAGCGCUCUGCAGUUGGCUGGAGGGAAAGAAGAAAGUGUCUCCUUAUGAGACACACUGCUAUCAGAGAUCCAGAUGAGGAGGAGCAGUGUACCGUAGCGAGCCGUAGUCCGGAACAUGUCAGCUCCACCACAUCCCGUCAAGCAAGCCUAACUUCUGUGUACUGCAGCAGGUCCCCUACAUCUCCUUCAUCAGGUGACGCAGUCUUACGUAAUCCAGUGAGAUUGCAAUGCAAAGAGAUCUUCUCUCAGUGGAAACUCAGUCAAAAUAUUCAGUUAGCGGGCAGCACAGAACUCCCAUCUGUAGAUCCUGUAAAAGAAGAGGCCUCACACAUCCAUACAGAGCAGCCUCCUCCUCAAGCGCCCCAGCCCUAUCCUACACAUGGACCAUCAGGGGCAGCUAGAGCUCGCUACCUCCCCAUGUCUACAGGCCUGAAGCUAGAGAUUCCUGUACUACACGGUGAUUAUUCAGAGGCGGUCCGAGUAAGUCCCUCCCACAUCCAGCGCUCCGUCCCUCACAUCACUCCCAGUCUGGAGUUACUGAGGCCCAUCACAUCUCCUGCAGUAGCAGUGCGUCUCCAAACAGACACCCUCACCCUAGCAUGCGCCAUAUACACCACGUUUUCUCAGUCCACGUCCCCCGGGCCCCAGGAGGCGGUUGAUGCCGUUUCGCACAAUAUAGGUAUCUCAACAGCUGAAUACAGAAACCAUAGGAACAUAAGUCCAGACGUUCAGUUGUGGUCUGGCGAUGGUCUGAGGACAUCAGGCUCAGGGGGCAAUAAGCGCAUGCUUUCCCCAUCAAACAGCAUGGAGCUCUCCACUGAGUCACAGCAGCAGCAGAAACGAGUGAAAGAAGAAGAAGAAGAAGAAGAAGAGGAGGGGGAGGUGGGGUGUGUUGACAAGGCAUCAGUGGACACGUGCAAUCAGGAAGUAAAAAGAGAGAAUCAGACAUGUCUGUCCAGUGUUUGUUCUCCCAUCGCACAUGGUGGACCAUCAUACCCCAGUCUGCUGUCCAGCACCUGUAAUAGCUGGUGCUAUUUGAACUACAUUAAACCAAACCCGUCUGCUCUGGAUGAACAGAAGCCCUCAGUGUAUUCAUCGUGGUCCACUAGCGGCUAUGACCCCAACCCACCUGGCCUCUCCAGCAAGACGGCUCUCUCUCUGCUGCACUGCAAGCAGAGGCUCAGUCCAUCCAUCUACACCAUAUCCCCCAUGUCAGUCAGGACAACGGAGUCAAUGGAGCAAGAGGACAGCAAAAGACAAUGCUCCACUGAGGUCUACAACAGCCAGUCGUACUGCAGAGACAACCAGGGAACGAACAAGGGACAGCAGUCAGCAGAUGAGGACAGGUCAAACAGAAAAGAGGAGGCGGCGGAGGAGGAAGAGGAAAAGAACGAGGAGGAGGAGGAAAUACAUUCAUGCUCCAGAAAUAAACAACCUCCCGAAGUUUGGAUCUCUGAGAGAGUAUCAAAUGAGAAGUAUGGUGUCAUGCAUGGUGGAGGUGGAGGGGAGUGCCAAUGUAAGGACUGUGGGUUCCACCUUAAGAAUACCAGUGUGCUGCAAAAGUGCACCCAUCGCAUCACAGAAUCCCCCCCAUCUUACUGCAAACACUGUAACCUUUCUCUCAAAGCCAAAGGAAGCCUCGUCAAACACCUGAGAUCGGAGGCACGUGGAAAAGAAACCUGUUGUUACCCAGAUGGCAACGAUGAAGAAGUCUGUGGAGAACGUUCACUUCAACCCGAUAAACAAAAAGAUCCUGACUACUCUGAUCUGGGGAAAAGUCGACCUGAUGAGGAUGACAAUGCAAGGGACAAAGAUGGCAGACGUGAUGAAGACAACCGCUCCAAGGCGGCUGAAAGCUCUCACACUGCCUCUUCUGACAGUGAGAAACCAGAACCCAGCCAAUCCAUCCCGGGUCCCCCUAAGGAUUCUACCCAGAAGAGCUCGGCCAGCGCCAGGAGGGCUCUGUUCGCCCGCAGACGCUUCGACGCUUCAGCGUCGGCGUCCUCCGGAGGCUCCCGUUCUCCAGGUUCUCAACCCGUGGUUCCACAGAGGGAGCCGUCUCCACCUCGGAGCCCCCAGCCCGGGCCCCACUCCCCAUCCAGAUGUCAUGUCUCCCCCUCCGCUCUGAGACCAGUCUCCCCUGUUAGAAGUCUUUCUCCUAUAAUAGUUCAGUCCCAUGGAUCGGAGUUCUCUGGGCCUCCAGGCUGCCUGACCGACACCUCUGCUCCGUGUCGAGCCUGGCUUCACCCAAGAGGCCGACCGUCUACAGCAAGACUGUCCAUGGAUGAGUUUGGUCUGAGCCACAUCUCCACACAUCCCGCGCGGCCUCGGAGAGCCAUCAACGUCCUGAGUCACCUCCCUCUGCACUCCCAGGGGGCGAGCAGGUCCCCGAGCCUCCUGAUUCCCAUCGGGGGGAUUCACAUGAUUCAGCCCCGGUCCACCCUCCCUCUGUACAGCCUGGUGAGCAGCCCCGUAGCAGCCACAGCCAGCCUCGCGGGGACAUCCUGGAGACUAAGGGACGCUCCAAAGGGGAGGUUCCCUCCGCUGCAGCGCCACGAUAAUCUCAAAGAGCCGUGGCAGCGCAGCCGAGCCAGCCCACAGGACCCGGAGGGGUUGGGGGGGGGAGGAAUGUCCGGGGGCGGCCGAUCGGACGCUUUAUUACACAGAAACCCUCCGAGUCCCGGGACAGAGACCAGGCAUCUGGGGGUCGACACAGACUCUCAUGUUAUAGAGAGGUGUGUUUACCCCGAGACCCCCCAAGGCCAAAAAAAGGCUCCUUCCUCCCAGACACAACACUGAUAGGAGGAGAGUCUGAAAGGGACAGUGCAAAAAGACAAUAAAAACAACCCGAGGCUGAUCUAAAAACACAGCACUGGGGUCGGAGACUGAGUACAAAAGGCAAGAGCACUUGAGCACCGCUUCUGAGCACCGCUUCUGAAUGACGCUAUAAUGUAAUUAUAUGAAUAAUAUAUUAUAUAUAUAUAUACACUAUGUUAGAUAUAUAUAUAUAUACUAUGUUAGAUAUGCAGUAUGUUUUGUAAAUCUUUUUUACCCUCUUGUUUGAUGUCAUCUGUGUUAAUUUAUUUAUGUGCUAAUAUGCAAAUUCUGUACUAUAUGCAAAAAGCAGCUGGAAUGAAAAAUAGACAAAGUUUUAAUCAGUUUCUCUAUUAACCCCCCCACCCCACCCCACCCCCUUUGACAGCUCUAAUAUACUAUUGCUGUGUUAAUGUACUGUAUUACCAGAAUGGAUAUAGAAAGGUACUACAAUUAUUUAUUCACCCCGACCAGUAUUUUGAAGUGCAAUUUGUAUGUGAAGAUUGUGGUUUGAAAUGUCAUUCUUAAAAGCUGUGAUUAUUAUAAUUAUUAUUAUUAUUAUUAUUAUUAUUAUUAUUAUUAUUAUGUCAGAUUUUUAUUAUUUUGUUGUGUUGUCUUUGUUUGUGUUCAAAGAAGCAGGGUUACGAUCACCUCCUUUUUCUAUAGAAGUUUCAGACGUUUGGAGUGCACUGACCAAUAAUUUGAUAUCCAGAGGAAACCUGUUUCACGUACAUGAUUUAUAUUACAACUGUGUGACGGGCGUGGUUUUUGAGUUAGUUACUGCUCUACUUUUCCAGUGGAACGUACCGUAAGGCAGCGAUGAAGUACUCAAGUCCUGGACUCGGACUCAAGUUCCUAUUCUCUGGACUCGUAACUCGACCCCAACUCAAACUCAGGAAAUGGUGACAUGACUCGGACUCUUCUUUGCUGACUCGGACUCGAGUCCGACUCGAGAGAUGCUAUUCUCUGGACUCGAGACUCGACUUGGACUUGCGCAGUGAUGACUUGGACUUGGACUCAGACUCUGGGUUUUAUGAAAUCGGACUCGGAAGUUGGAUGAAGUUUCUGACUACUGUUAUGUGUAAGAGGCAGUGAUGACAAGUCCUGGACUUGUGAUGGCAAAUCCUGGACUCGGACUCGAGUCCCUAUUCUCUGGCCUCGUAACUCGACUCAAACUCAGGUAAUGGUGACAUGACUCAGACUCUUCUUUGCUGACUUGGACUUGAAAACUCGGGACUCGAGACUUGACUCCGACUCGACAGUUGGUGACUCAACUACAACGCUGCUGUAAGUUAGUUUUUUUUAAAUGCUAAUUGAUGUGUAGGAAUCAAUGGAAAUCAGUGGUAAGAAUCCCACGUUUUACUGCACGCUAAAGACAACGAUUAGGAAUGUAAAGCAUGGGAUUUUGAUUUGUACGUUUGAAACGGAACACAGAAGAGCCUUGUUCUUAGUUUCCCUGAAACCUGCAGAUACCGUGGCGAUGAGCGUGGCACCACCCUGUGGCUGUGCUGAGAUUGUACUUGAUGUUGAAAUUCCACUUCUCAGAAUGGAAACCCUAGUUUUAUUAAAAAUCCGUUUCACAGCCUGCCUUUAAUUCUUUUUUAAUUUUUAAUUUCAUUGUGUUGUGUUUGACACUUAUCUUCCUGCUCUCCUCUGUGCUGAUACCGUCACAUAAAGGCAGCUCUUCUUUCUUUCUCCAGGCUGAAGCGGUCACGUGUAGCCACUGGGUGGCAGGAGAAAGCAACUUUAAGCCCAUCUCGGCUCAUGCUGCCUGGGAACUGAAAGGGAUGACGUCGCACACUGAAGGGGUCAUAACCCCUGACACCUGAGCGAGCUCCACCCAUUGUAGAAGACCAUGGAAUCCAACUGCAAGCUCCGGAAUAAAGCCAGGCCAGGAUGACGGAGUGAUCCUGCAAAGUGUGUUGAGGUGAAAUCGUCUGCAGCAGACCGGAAACAAAAGGAAAACCAAGCUGGCUUAAUGACGCU